Long non-coding RNA from Protopterus annectens (West African lungfish), 779 nucleotides. RefSeq lists it as uncharacterized. The transcript has 2 exons. Lineage: Eukaryota; Metazoa; Chordata; Ceratodontiformes; Protopteridae. The record is from RefSeq and is a predicted model, not a curated record.
AUAUGUCUCUAUCUCUAUACGUCUGUCUGGUAUUUGUCUAUAUAUGUAUAUCAAGCUAUGCUGUAUUUUAACAGGAAGGCACUUAGUCUUCUAAAUGUAGUAAAUACAAAAAGUGAAGAACAAUGUAAAACAUGAACAAGCAUGAUUAUAAUCUUCCCAGGGAGGCCAGUAUAACCUAUAAAAGGAUACAUUAGUUUUAAGGAAGAAUGUAGCUAACCAUGCAAAUUAUGUAACACUUAUGUAACAUAAAUGUGAUCUUGUAAGCUCUGUUAUGAAAACUGUUACGAAACUGUUAGAUGAGGAAAGUUGUAAAUAGUUUUUGAAAACUGCCUAUAUAUAACUUGGCUUACACUACUGAGACAAAGAUACAGCUUUGUUUUCAAGACCAGAACUCAUUUCAUAGUGAGAACAUACAAGAAUAAAAUGCUGAAGGCUGUGAUUUUACUUCUUGCAAUUGUGCUCAUUCUGGAUCCUGCACCAGGUGCAUUUCAACCUUUUUCAGACUCAUUCAUUUGUGUAAAAAGUGGAGGACGUUGUGAAAAAUACAACUGCAGAGCAAGAGAAUUUUAUAAAGGCACUUGCAAUAAUGGUCGUUGGAUGUGCUGUAUAUCACGUUCAGUAGAGGAGCAUGAUCCUGAAGUCUAAGACUUCUUUGUUUUGGUGUAACUCAGAAUGUCAACAUACUAGCCACAAUACCUUCUUUGUUAAUGACCAAAUCAUAUUUGUAAUACCAGAAAUAUCUAACUUACAAGUAGUGGAAUAAAUCCAAAAACAAAUUG